CCUACGGGAGGCAGCAGUGGGGAAUAUUGGACAAUGGGCGAAAGCCUGAUCCAGCAAUGCCGCGUGAGUGAUGAAGGCCUUAGGGUUGUAAAGCUCUUUUACCAGGGAUGAUAAUGACAGUACCUGGAGAAUAAGCUCCGGCUAACUCCGUGCCAGCAGCCGCGGUAAUACGGAGGGAGCUAGCGUUGUUCGGAAUUACUGGGCGUAAAGCGUGCGUAGGCGGUUAUUCAAGUCAGAGGUGAAAGCCCGGGGCUCAACCCCGGAACGGCCUUUGAAACUAGAUAGCUAGAAUCUUGGAGAGGUUAGUGGAAUUCCGAGUGUAGAGGUGAAAUUCGUAGAUAUUCGGAAGAACACCAGUGGCGAAGGCGACUAACUGGACAAGCAUUGACGCUGAGGCACGAAAGCGUGGGGAGCAAACAGGAUUAGAUACCCUGGUAGUCCACGCCGUAAACGAUGAUAACUAGCUGUUCGGGCACUUGGUGCCCUGAGUGGCGCNGCUACGACAUUAAGUUAUUCCGUCCGUCGGGUAGGUACGGUCGCGAGAAUUAAACUACAAUAGAAGUUAGACGGCGUGAGACGUGCCGACGACGACGACGAGGGAGGUAGG
Molecule: ribosomal RNA, 607 nt
Filed under: uncultured bacterium
Lineage: Bacteria
Description: bacterial SSU rRNA
Rfam family: Bacterial small subunit ribosomal RNA (bases 1-520)
Source: RNAcentral